AAAUUGAAGAGUUUGAUCAUGGCUCAGAUUGAACGCUGGCGGCAGGCCUAACACAUGCAAGUCGAACGGUAACAGGAAACAGCUUGCUGUUUCGCUGACGAGUGGCGGACGGGUGAGUAAUGUCUGGGAAACUGCCUGAUGGAGGGGGAUAACUACUGGAAACGGUAGCUAAUACCGCAUAACGUCGCAAGACCAAAGAGGGGGACCCUCGGGCCUCUUGCCAUCGGAUGUGCCCAGAUGGGAUUAGCUUGUUGGUGGGGUAACGGCUCACCAAGGCGACGAUCCCUAGCUGGUCUGAGAGGAUGACCAGCCACACUGGAACUGAGACACGGUCCAGACUCC
RNAcentral lists this ribosomal RNA (342 nucleotides) under Escherichia coli. Its description in RNAcentral is "bacterial SSU rRNA". It matches the Rfam family "Bacterial small subunit ribosomal RNA", at positions 1 to 339 of the family's 1533-position model. Lineage: Bacteria; Pseudomonadati; Pseudomonadota; Gammaproteobacteria; Enterobacterales; Enterobacteriaceae. The record is from RNAcentral.